UGGGGAAUUUUGGACAAUGGGGGCAACCCUGAUCCAGCAAUGCCGCGUGUGUGAAGAAGGCCUUCGGGUUGUAAAGCACUUUUGUCCGGAAAAAAAGCAUUCCCGUUAAUACCGGGGGUGGAUGACGGUACCGGAAGAAUAAGCACCGGCUAACUACGUGCCAGCAGCCGCGGUAAUACGUAGGGUGCGAGCGUUAAUCGGAAUUACUGGGCGUAAAGCGUGCGCAGGCGGUGAUGUAAGACCGAUGUGAAAUCCCCGGGCUUAACCUGGGAACUGCAUUGGUGACUGCAUCGCUCGAGUAUGGCAGAGGGGGGUAGAAUUCCACGUGUAGCAGUGAAAUGCGUAGAGAUGUGGAGGAAUACCGAUGGCGAAGGCAGCCCCCUGGGUCAAUACUGACGCUCAUGCACGAAAGCGUGGGGAGCAAAC
Molecule: ribosomal RNA, 426 nt
Filed under: uncultured bacterium
Lineage: Bacteria
Description: bacterial SSU rRNA
Rfam family: Bacterial small subunit ribosomal RNA
Source: RNAcentral